UCUAGUUGAAUAUUACUGACUCCAUUUUUAAGCAGAGCCAACUCUCAAGCCAAAAGUGAACUGAUGCACCAGCUCCUACUCUCCAACCAAAUAAAGAACCUCAGCAGCUAGUUUGACUACUGAUACCGGAACCGGUCUCUCUCUGGAUCUAAACCAGAAUCAGGGAAGACGUAAUUCAAAUAUGCACCUGAAAUUAAAUCACAUUGGUGUAUAAAGAGCUGAAUGUUCGAAAAGGAACCUUGAUUUUAGAAAACAGGGCAGGGAUUCUAUAACAUUCGAGAUCUACCUUACUUAUCGAGAAGGGGUAUUCUAUUAGAAAGGUAGCACACAAGCAUCCCAAUUCCAUAGAUUUGAGUUCAAGUGGCACAGGACCUCCAGCCAUGAGUUCCCUCACACUGAUGAUUC
This 405-nucleotide long non-coding RNA is filed under the name Panax ginseng (ginseng). Its description in RNAcentral is "long non-coding RNA (PGIN_LNC009225)". Lineage: Eukaryota; Viridiplantae; Streptophyta; Magnoliopsida; Apiales; Araliaceae. The record is from RNAcentral.